RNAcentral lists this unclassified non-coding RNA (331 nucleotides) under soil metagenome. RNAcentral describes it as "partial contains 5.8S ribosomal RNA, internal transcribed spacer 2, and large subunit ribosomal RNA". The stretch from base 1 to 120 matches the Rfam family "5.8S ribosomal RNA", at positions 35 to 154 of the family's 154-position model. The record is from RNAcentral.
GAUGAAGAACGCAGCGAAAUGCGAUAAGUAAUGUGAAUUGCAGAAUUCAGUGAAUCAUCGAAUCUUUGAACGCACAUUGCGCCCCUUGGUAUUCCGGGGGGCAUGCCUGUUCGAGCGUCAUUUCACCACUCAAGCCUCGCUUGGUAUUGGGCAACGCGGUCCGCCGCGUGCCUCAAAUCGACCGGCUGGGUCUUCUGUCCCCUAAGCGUUGUGGAAACUAUUCGCUAAAGGGUGUUCGGGAGGCUACGCCGUAAAACAACCCCAUUUCUAAGGUUGACCUCGGAUCAGGUAGGGAUACCCGCUGAACUUAAGCAUAUCAAUAAGCGGAGGA